Molecule: ribosomal RNA, 426 nt
Filed under: Triticum aestivum (bread wheat)
Lineage: Eukaryota; Viridiplantae; Streptophyta; Magnoliopsida; Poales; Poaceae
Description: partial small subunit ribosomal RNA
Source: RNAcentral
AUGCCCAACUCCGGCUCCGUCACGAACGUCUCCUUCUCGCGGGUCACCAUGAACCGCGUGGCCAACCCCAUCCUCGUCGACCAGAACUACUGCCCCCGCAACGUCGACUGCCCGGGCAAUGUACGUCUCCUUCCCUACAUCUACAUGCAACUACACGUGAUUGAUCGACUAUAUAAUGAGCUGUGUUGUUGUGUGUGCCUGCAGAGCUCGGGGGUGCAGAUCAGCGACCUGUCGUACACUGACAUCAAGGGCUUGUCGGCGACGCCCGUGGCGGUGAAGUUCAACUGCAGCGGUACCAAUCCCUGCAGCGGGAUCAAGCUCAGGAACAUCAGGCUGAGGUACCGGCACCAGCGGCCGGCGCAGGCCAAGUGCCAAAACGCCGGCGGGUUCGCGUCCGGAGAGGUCACACCGCCGAGCUGCUUCUGA